Molecule: unclassified non-coding RNA, 195 nt
Filed under: uncultured Exophiala
Lineage: Eukaryota; Fungi; Ascomycota; Eurotiomycetes; Chaetothyriales; Herpotrichiellaceae
Description: sequence contains ITS2
Source: RNAcentral
UCACCCCUCAAGCCCCCUGGCUUGGUGUUGGACGGUUGGCGAUGACCUCCGGGUCGUCGCCCCUCCCAAAGACAAUGACGGCGGCCUCGUUGGACCCCCGGUACACUGAGUUCUUCACGGGACACGUACUGGAUCAAGGGUGCGCGGAGCACGGUCUUAACCAUUUCACCCCUCGUGGGCGGAAUAAUUUUUCUA